UCAAUAAAAUAAUAUCGAUAGAACGUAGUACUGUUCAAAUAAAUUGAAAUCAAUUGAAUUAUAUCCAGUGAAAAUUAGGCCCCGCAAUGGAGAAAAAUUUGGUAUACAAAACCAAGUGCCAACGCUGGUUAGGAUCAAUUUGAAAAAAGCGUUUCCGUGGUGCCAGUUCAAUCAUAUCCUCCACCUGUCAAUGCAGAAAAACACGUUACAACCAAAUCUUAUUACGAUUCAGCCCAAAACAGGUGUUGAUCCAAAUCGUUGGAUGAAUGUACCAAUUUCGAUCCCAAAUUGUCCGCCCGGUUUGGAAUACCUAGCAUCAAUUAAUGAAUUGUUGGUUAAACAAAAAGUCGAACUGUUCGAGACAUUCACUGGAUUCAAAAUGAACAAUAGAUUGGUUAUCAAAAAUUCGCUGGAUCAAAAUUUAAGCGAACUUUAUUCAGAUUACGAUUUGUUUGAUUUAUUUUUGCUUUUGAACAGUGUUAAUAUGAUGAUUGGUGAUAAUUUUUUGUUUAUUUUUUCUUUGAUGAACUAGGUUUACUUCGCUGCCGAAGACAAUGAUCGUUGUACUCGCAAUUACUGCGGUCCAAUACGUCCAUUUGACAUGAAAAUUUUCGAUGGCAACAAAAAGGAAGUUAUGCGUUUUUAUCGACCGUUGUCUUGUACGGGCUGUUGUUCGCCGUGUCGUUUGCAGUCAUUGGUCGUAAUCAGCACCCGUUGGUAAUGCUAUCGGGAGCAUCGAAGAAGAAUGGACGUUGUGCUAUCCACAUUUCUCAAUCAAAAAUGAUGUCGGUGAUAUCGUUCUACGCAUUGAAGGACCGAUCUGGAAACUAUCAUGUGGUGGCAAUGUUGAAUUCAAGAUUCUUCCAUUGGAUGGCACUCAAGUCGGAAAGAUAUCGAAGCAAUGGAGUGGUUUGGCAAAGGAAAUGUUCACCAAUGCUGAUAAUUUUGGCAUUUCAUUUCCAUUGGAUUUGAACGUUCGAAUGAAAGCCGUUUUACUGGGUGCCUGCAUUUUGAUUGAUAUGUUGUAUUAUGAAACCUGCAACUAUUAAGUUGACGACUCGUGGCCGACGACGACAAAUCACUGCUUCAAAAGUUUGACUUACUUGCUAAGGAUUAAAUGAAUUAUACUUUUCAAUAUCAUAGCACUUAUUGUGUGAACAUGAAUGAAAUAUUCAUUCAUUAUUCUACUCGAAUAAACAAACGUCA
Molecule: long non-coding RNA, 1206 nt
Organism: Sitodiplosis mosellana (orange wheat blossom midge)
Lineage: Eukaryota; Metazoa; Arthropoda; Insecta; Diptera; Cecidomyiidae
Exons: 5
Source: RefSeq, a predicted model, not a curated record